Molecule: transfer RNA, 72 nt
Filed under: Pujadella villari
Lineage: Eukaryota; Metazoa; Arthropoda; Insecta; Hymenoptera; Figitidae
Description: tRNA-Tyr
Source: RNAcentral
AGUAAUAUGUCUGAAAUUAAGUAAUAAACUGUAAAUUUAUUCAUGAAUAAACUAAUAAUUAUUCUAUUACUA